This 378-nucleotide ribosomal RNA is filed under the name uncultured eukaryote. Its description in RNAcentral is "partial 18S ribosomal RNA". It matches the Rfam family "Eukaryotic small subunit ribosomal RNA", at positions 592 to 975 of the family's 1831-position model. The record is from RNAcentral.
CAAUAGCGUAUAUUUAAGUUGUUGCAGUUAAAAAGCUCGUAGUUGGAUUUCGGGUGGGGCUUUCCGGUCCGUCUUUGAGAUGUGCACUGGUGAGUCCUAUCUUCUUGUCGGGGACUAGCUCCUGGGCUUCACUGUCCGGGACUGGGAGCCGACGAAGUUACUUUGAGUAAAUUAGAGUGUUCAAAGCAAGCCUACGCUCUGAAUAUAUUAGCAUGGAAUAACACGAUAGGACUCUGGCUUAUCUUGUUGGUCUGUGAGACCAGAGUAAUGAUUAAGAGGGACAGUCGGGGACAUUCGUAUUUCAUUGUCAGAGGUGAAAUUCUUGGAUUUAUGAAAGACGAACUUCUGCGAAAGCAUUUGUCAAGGAUGUUUNCAUUA